UGGGGAAUAUUGCACAAUGGGGGAAACCCUGAUGCAGCGACGCCGCGUGAAGGAAGAAGUAUUUCGGUAUGUAAACUUCUAUCAGCAGGGAAGAAAAUGACGGUACCUGACUAAGAAGCCCCGGCUAACUACGUGCCAGCAGCCGCGGUAAUACGUAGGGGGCAAGCGUUAUCCGGAUUUACUGGGUGUAAAGGGAGCGUAGACGGUUGUGUAAGUCAGAUGUGAAAGCCCGGGGCUCAACCCCGGGACUGCAUUUGAAACUGUGCAACUAGAGUGUUGGAGAGGUAAGUGGAAUUCCUAGUGUAGCGGUGAAAUGCGUAGAUAUUAGGAGGAACACCAGUGGCGAAGGCGAC
RNAcentral lists this ribosomal RNA (353 nucleotides) under uncultured Hespellia sp. Its description in RNAcentral is "bacterial SSU rRNA". It matches the Rfam family "Bacterial small subunit ribosomal RNA", at positions 355 to 725 of the family's 1533-position model. Lineage: Bacteria; Bacillati; Bacillota; Clostridia; Lachnospirales; Lachnospiraceae. The record is from RNAcentral.